CAUUGAAACACGCAGUCUAGCGCGCGCACACAGCCCAACCACAUCAAAUACAAACAAGGGGGGUGUCGCAGCCGAUAACGGUAACGUUGUCAGGGACAGGGGUAUGCCUAGACGUGGACUUAUCACUAUUUUGAUCCUCGUUUUGAAAAAAGUGGACAGGGCGCCUGCAGGAAUGAAUGCGAUGCUCGUACAAUACAGCUGAGGCCUCACCGCCUUCAUUGGCUCCUGUGAUGUACUGGAACAGUCUCCUGAACGCCAUCGCUGCUCCCACCCCCAUGAAAUAGGCCUCCGCAUCUGUAGAGACCCAGCGGGUCAAACUGGAGGCACUCCUUCGACUCCGUACAGAAGCUGCUGCUGGAGUUACUGGGGCUUCAGGGGGAAUGAGGGGAGAAAGGAUGCAGUAGCCGAGAAACACCACCAACAGCAAACCUGCGAUGAAGUCCCUGAGACGAAAACAAAAAGAGGCAUAACUUGCAAACACACAUAAAGGCCGACAAAGACAAAUGAAAAA
Molecule: long non-coding RNA, 511 nt
Organism: Alosa sapidissima (American shad)
Lineage: Eukaryota; Metazoa; Chordata; Actinopteri; Clupeiformes; Clupeidae
Exons: 4
Source: RefSeq, a predicted model, not a curated record